CCUACGGGUGGCAGCAGUGAGGAAUAUUGGUCAAUGGACGAGAGUCUGAACCAGCCAAGUAGCGUGAAGGAUGACUGCUCUAUGGGUUGUAAACUUCUUUUAUAUGGGAAUAAAACGUUCCACGUGUGGGAUUUUGUAUGUACCAUAUGAAUAAGGAUCGGCUAACUCCGUGCCAGCAGCCGCGGUAAUACGGAGGAUCCGAGCGUUAUCCGGAUUUAUUGGGUUUAACGGGAGCGUAGGUGGAUUGUUAAGUCAGUUGUGAAAGUUUGCGGCUCAACCGUAAAAUUGCAGUUGAAACUGGCAGUCUUGAGUACAGUAGAGGUGGGCGGAAUUCGUGGUGUAGCGGUGAAAUGCUUAGAGAUCACGAAGAACUCCGAUUGCGAAGGCAGUUCACUGGACUGCAACUGACACUGAGGCUCGAAAGUGUGGGUAUCAAACAGGAUUAGAUACCCCAGUAGUC
Molecule: ribosomal RNA, 460 nt
Filed under: uncultured bacterium
Lineage: Bacteria
Description: partial 16S ribosomal RNA
Rfam family: Bacterial small subunit ribosomal RNA
Source: RNAcentral